AAGAAGGAGAAGAAGAAGCAGCAGCUCCGUUUGGGUGAUGUGCUGUUAUUACCACUGGUCAGGCUUCAUCCAUUUCAUGGGCUGUAUGACUUCAUUUGUUCUGAUUAUUUUGCCAAAGAUUAAGGAUUGGUUUUCCCAGCUUCUGAGAAUUUUGUUCCAGGAGGGCCAGUCACCUUGCAGUCCUUCCUGAGCUGUGAGUGCGCAUUGCUGGGUCAUGUCCAAUGUUUCACCCACCUGUCACUGUUGGACACAAAAUGAUUCACACAGACACAGCUCGAGGUGCGGUGAAAGAAGAAUUCUCGAUUAUUUGUUCUUUCAGUAUUUGUAGGUUUUCGACCAUGACCACGGAUUGGAUAGUCAGGUUACCACCUUCCCUACCGCACUGGCCGUGAGAGACGUCCAUCAAAAGGCCUAUCUUUAAUGGAAUGUAUAAACACCUAUGUUUAUAGUUACUUUCCUGGGAAAGUCACUAGAACUUGUGAAAACAAUAUCUAAAGGCCUGAUUCUCAGGGCAACACCCACCAGCAUCCCCAAGUCCUUCUGGGCAGGGCUGUUGUCCAUGUGUUCAUCCCCCAGUCUGGGCUGAAACCGGAGGUUGCCCCAAGCCACAUGUAAAACCCUGUACUUGGUACUGUAACGCCUCUUCAGAUUCCCAUGGGCCACUUCUUCAGCUUGUCCAGGUCCCCCUGGAUGUAUCCCGUUCUUCAGGUGUGUCAGCAGCACCAGCAUUCUGUUUGGUGUCAUCUACAAAUGUGCUGAGGGUGCCCUUGAUCCCUCUGUCUGUGUCAUUAAUGAAGACUUAAUUAACACUGGUCCAGUACAGACCCCUGAGAGACAGCACUCGUCACUGACGUCCUCUGUUGGAGUCUGAGAUACAGUGUGUGUGCCCUUGUUUUUAAUAUUUAGUUCUAGAAUUCAAAGAAACACUGAAUUUC
Parus major (Great Tit) is the source of this 935-nucleotide long non-coding RNA. RefSeq lists it as uncharacterized. The transcript has 3 exons. The record is from RefSeq and is a predicted model, not a curated record. NCBI's taxonomy places the organism in Eukaryota, Metazoa, Chordata, Aves, Passeriformes, Paridae.